CGGUUUCACUUUGGUACUUGCUGGACAGACUGCUGCCACGCCGGCUGGCUAGGUUGCUCUUGAUCCUGGCAGGGGCCGCUCCUUGCUGCUUGGUUGUAUGUGUCCCCUCUACUCUGAAAACUCACUAUGGGGAGGACAGGACCACAGGUGGUUUGUCCGUGUGUUUGCAGGACCAGUCUGAGGACUUGUGACCCUGAGGACCAUACACUCUGUCUUUGAUUAAUGACCGAGUACCUGCUAUAUGCCAGGCCUGGUAAAAGACUCUGGGUUAGGAUAAACAAGAAGGUCAAAGAGCUGCAGAGGCAAGGCAGAUACAGACUUGGCCGUGAAGAGUACCACAGAGGUUUGCAGACACUGGGCUGAGGGCCUGUGAGUCCAGCCAGGCUGGAAGGGGGAAGCUGCACAGCUUUGUUCUCAGGCUGCAUUCAGUAAACCUUGGGGAUCAGCAUUUCAAUCCAGUCAUAGCCAGAGGACAUGAAUUUAGUUCUCCCUUUUGACCCUCACAAAAUGGCACAUGCCUUUAAUCCCAGGCAGAGGCAGGCAGAUCUCUGAAUUUGAGGCCAGCCUGAUCUACAGAAUGAUUGCCAAGAUAGCCACAAAGAGAAACCCUGUCUCAGAAAGAAAAAUAAAAUGAAAUAAAAUAAAAUAAAAGAAUGAGGGUACGGUUCCUUUGGAAAAUCCCACUACAAUCAAGCCUAGGCCCAUAUCCUCACUUCUCAAGGAAGACCCUCAUCUACCGCCCUGCCCAGUCUUGCAAGGUAGCCUGCACUGUCCUGCAUAAGCAGCCCACAGGAUCCAGACCUAGGACUGCGGGGCGCUCAGAGCCACGAGGUCAAUGAGACACAGCCUUGAUCGCCCGUUAGACAGAGGAGGAAACCGCGCCUGCACAGGGAUUCGCAGAUCCGAUCCUCGCCCCCACCGCGCCUCUCCCGGGACUCCAUCAGCCCCCGGGCUCCCCACAGCGCCCGGGACUUCCCGGCUUGGCCCUGUCC
Non-coding RNA from Cricetulus griseus (Chinese hamster), 992 nucleotides. The record is from RefSeq and is a predicted model, not a curated record. Lineage: Eukaryota; Metazoa; Chordata; Mammalia; Rodentia; Cricetidae.